UGGGGAAUAUUGCACAAUGGGGGAAACCCUGAUGCAGCGAUGCCGCGUGGAGGAAGAAGGUUUUCGGAUUGUAAACUCCUGUCUUAAAGGACGAUAAUGACGGUACUUUAGGAGGAAGCUCCGGCUAACUACGUGCCAGCAGCCGCGGUAAUACGUAGGGAGCGAGCGUUGUCCGGAAUUACUGGGUGUAAAGGGAGCGUAGGCGGGAGUGCAAGUCAGAUGUGAAAUACAUGGGCUCAACCCAUGGGCUGCAUUUGAAACUGCAUUUCUUGAGUGAAGUAGAGGUAAGCGGAAUUCCUGGUGUAGCGGUGAAAUGCGUAGAUAUCAGGAGGAACACCGGUGGCGAAGGCGGCUUACUGGGCUUUUACUGACGCUGAGGCUCGAAAGCGUGGGGAGCAAACAGG
RNAcentral lists this ribosomal RNA (404 nucleotides) under uncultured prokaryote. Its description in RNAcentral is "bacterial SSU rRNA". It matches the Rfam family "Bacterial small subunit ribosomal RNA", at positions 355 to 776 of the family's 1533-position model. The record is from RNAcentral. RNAcentral also lists the same sequence under 1 other name.